UGGGGAAUUUUGGACAAUGGGCGCAAGCCUGAUCCAGCAAUGCCGCGUGAGUGAAGAAGGCCUUCGGGUUGUAAAGCUCUUUUGUCAGGGAAGAAACGGCGAGUCCUAAUAUGGCUUGCUAAUGACGGUACCUGAAGAAUAAGCACCGGCUAACUACGUGCCAGCAGCCGCGGUAAUACGUAGGGUGCAAGCGUUAAUCGGAAUUACUGGGCGUAAAGCGUGCGCAGGCGGUUAUAUAAGACAGUCGUGAAAUCCCCGGGCUCAACCUGGGAACUGCGAUUGUGACUGUAUGGCUAGAGUGUGUCAGAGGGGGGUAGAAUUCCACGUGUAGCAGUGAAAUGCGUAGAUAUGUGGAGGAAUACCGAUGGCGAAGGCAGCCCCCUGG
RNAcentral lists this ribosomal RNA (385 nucleotides) under uncultured bacterium. RNAcentral describes it as "bacterial SSU rRNA". It matches the Rfam family "Bacterial small subunit ribosomal RNA", at positions 355 to 732 of the family's 1533-position model. The record is from RNAcentral.